This 253-nucleotide ribosomal RNA is filed under the name uncultured bacterium. RNAcentral describes it as "partial 16S ribosomal RNA". It matches the Rfam family "Bacterial small subunit ribosomal RNA", at positions 524 to 776 of the family's 1533-position model. The record is from RNAcentral.
UACGUAGGGACCGAGCGUUGUCCGGAUUCAUUGGGCGUAAAGAGCUCGUAGGCGGCUGCUCAAGUCGAAUGUGAAAACUCGAGGCUCAACCUCGAGCCUGCAUUCGAUACUGGGCGGCUAGAGUCUGGUAGGGGGAUCUGGAAUUCCUGGUGUAGCGGUGGAAUGCGCAGAUAUCAUGAGGAACAUCCGUGGCGAAGGCGGCUCUCUGGCCCGUAACUGACGCUGAGACGCGAAAGCGUGGGGAGCAAACAGG